This 253-nucleotide ribosomal RNA is filed under the name uncultured bacterium. Its description in RNAcentral is "partial 16S ribosomal RNA". It matches the Rfam family "Bacterial small subunit ribosomal RNA", at positions 524 to 776 of the family's 1533-position model. The record is from RNAcentral.
UACGGAGGAUCCAAGCGUUAUCCGGAUUUAUUGGGUUUAAAGGGAGCGUAGGCGGCCUGUUAAGUCAGGGGUGAAAGACGGUGGCUCAACCAUCGCAGUGCCUUUGAUACUGACAGGCUUGAAUGUAGUUGAGGUGGGCGGAAUGUGACAAGUAGAGGUGAAAUGCAUAGAUAUGUCACAGAACACCGAUUGCGAAGGCAGCUCACUAAGCUAUGAUUGACGCUGAGGCACGAAAGCGUGGGGAGCAAACAGG